Molecule: ribosomal RNA, 508 nt
Filed under: uncultured bacterium
Lineage: Bacteria
Description: bacterial SSU rRNA
Rfam family: Bacterial small subunit ribosomal RNA
Source: RNAcentral
GAUGAACGCUAGCUACAGGCUUAACACAUGCAAGUCGAGGGGAAACGACAUCGAAAGCUUGCUUUUGAUGGGCGUCGACCGGCGCACGGGGUGAGUAACGCGUAUCCAACCUGCCCACCACUUGGGGGAUAACCUUGCGAAAGUAAGACUAAUACCCGAUGAUAUCCCUAGAAGACAUCUGAAAGGGAUUAAAGAUUUAUCGGUGAUGGAUGGGGAUGCGUCUGAUUAGCUUGUUGGCGGGGUAACGGCCCACCAAGGCGACGAUUGGUAGGGGUUCUGAGAGGAAGGUCCCCCACAUUGGAACUGAGACACGGUCCAAACUCCUACGGGAGGCAGCAGUGAGGAAUAUUGGUCAAAUGGGCGAGAGCCUGAACCAGCCAAGCAGCGUGCAGGAUGACGGCCCUAUGGGUUGAAACUGCUUUAGCCGGGGAAUAAAGUGGGCCACGUGUGGCCUAUUGCAUGUACCCGGAGAAUAAGCAUCGGCUAAUUCCGUGCCAGCAGCCGACGG